AGCAUUGCACCUCCUCCUGCCUGGGGCUCCUGGAGGCCCCCUCCAAGCAGUUUUCAUAGCACUGCCGGAGGCCUUGGGAGCUCCUCACUGGCCGUGUUCCAUCUCCACCCUCCACUCAUCAGCCCUGGUUGCUGAUGGUCAGCGAUUGCAACUGUGGCUCACAGGCCCCUCUCGCAGCUGCCACUGAGCUCAGAAGCACCGGCUGCAUUCCCCCACUGCACCACAAGCAGGCGCAUGGAUGUGUGGGUGGAGGGUCACACGGUCUCGCAGCCUUCCGGGACCCCACAGGAGCAGGCGAACUGACGGGUGGGGAGGGUCACGUGGUCAGGCACAGUAGAUAACGUGUUCACGCAGUCUUCCCUGUGCACGAAGGAGCAGGCGCAGGGAUGUGUGGGGCAAAGGUCAUGUGGUCGUGCAGUCUUCCCCGACGCACACAGGAGCCGGCACAGGGAUUCACAUGGUCCUGCAAUGCAUCCCCCUCUGGGUGGCCCAGUGAACCCCAUUUGCUAAGGAACCAUCAGCUUGACCAUCGGAUGCAGGCAGGGCCUGGCCACCCAGGUCUCAUUUGUGCCGGUGUUGUUUGGGGAUGGAAUGGCCUGGCAGUUGGUGCUGGUUCAGGAAUGCCAUGGGUUACUGUGAUUUUAUUCCACUGUCUGUGGUGGAAGCAGUGUUGGUAGUGGGAUUGGCUGCCACGCUGGCAGUGGAGGGAAGCAGGCUGUGGGCAGAGAGCACUAUGGUCACGGGGUCGGAGUAGGGAACUUCUGAGACGUUCUCUUAGUGCUGGUUACCACCGCUUCAUGGUGUGUGCCAGGAAGCCAACAGGUUCUAAGAACAAUUUAUGGGAAUAAGAAAUAAACUUGCGCAGUAACUUCGUUUCUGUGCGCGUCGGGAAGAGACGGCCAGCUGUUGGCUUUAACAGCAGAGCCAGGCUCGUGUGCUCUGCAGCGGCCUCUCCGGAGCGGCAUCUUCCCAGCCUGCGGCCCUGGAGCCAUGCCUAGGUGGGCUGAAGGCCAAGGCUGCAUCCUCCUCCCCUGCAACAAAAUAUGAAACAGCAACAAAAGAUGGGAAAGGACGCGAUAGUUAAAACUAAAUUUUACAGAUAAAGGAAAGCUGCCCGUAGACUCGUGGAUUAAAUUGAGUGGUCCUCAAGGGAAGCUGUGUUCUAAAUGUGAGUAUCAGGAAAUAAGGUAUUUCUGAAAAUAACAUGCAGGCUUUUCCGUCAAGAAGUUAAAAAGAACAUUUGACUAAAUUCAAAGCAGAAGAAAGAGGAACUCGUAAGAGCCGAAAUUAGUAUGAUUUGAUCACAACAGAGAGAAUGAACAAAUCUAAAGUGGUUCUGUAAACAGAUUAAUGAAAUAGAAAAGUAUCUGGUGAUGUCAGCUUAGAAGUUUUGGUAGGCAGACACAGAUAACAUUAGAAAUGAAACCAGAGAGCAGGCUUGGUGUAAAUCCGCAGGAGAGUGUGGUGGGCAGCGUUACUCCGUUAUCUGAAAGGCAGCUGGGAGAGGUUGGUAGCAGGAGGGGAAAAUACGCCGAAACCUUCCAGGAGCGAUUUCCUCAUUGACAACAACAGUGAGAUUAACCCAAGAAAAAGGAGAGACCCUGCACAGUGGGGCUGGGUGCAGUGAAGCCACAAGCAGGAGCUGCCCGUGGGCACGGCCGCGCACUGGUUUCAUAAGGUGACCACACGAGGAAGCCGCCGGGAGGAAGUGACAGGCGCGUCUUACUUAACAGCUGGUGGCGACAGUCCUGAGCACCUGUUAGCCAGCAAACCCAGCAAUCCCUUUCAAGAAACAGCCCUAACUGGGAGCCGCAUAGCACUGAAGGCAGCUCUCGCCAUCAGAGACCUUGGUUGUAAGGCAAAGUGAGGAACAGCACGCGGUUCUCCCAUAGAGGUGGGAAAGACCUCUGAUAAGGCUCAGCACCCCCCAGUCAUGAUUUAAAGCAAAACAAAACUUGUGAAGGACGAGGCCAGGGAAGGUUUCCCAGCAGCAAAGGGCGUUUGCUGAGUGCCAGUAGCACGAUGCUGAACAGUGACACUUGUCACCAGUGGCGGGAUAACAGGUUUGUGGUUGCUGGGCACAGUGAGCGUGAUGCUGAGGCGGGGCCCAGCCGGGGUGAGGAGCAGCCCCUGGAGCAGAGGAAGGAGAGUGACAUCAGAGAUCGUCAUCUCUCGCAAAGCAAACCUCGUUUAGAUCUGCGCCCGACAGGCUGGCGUGACCACUGGACUCUGACGGGGUGGAGACACAGAUGGCGUGGGCCGUGACAGUGAAAUGCACACUGCACAUCCAAGACAGCGUGAGAAAACGCAAACCAGCCAGGAGCAGCUUCUACGUUGAGUAUGUGUGGAAAUGAUAUUUCAGAUAUAUUGGCCAAAAUGAACUGUAUAUUAAAUCAUCAUUACCUUUCAA
Molecule: long non-coding RNA, 2410 nt
Organism: Sapajus apella (tufted capuchin)
Lineage: Eukaryota; Metazoa; Chordata; Mammalia; Primates; Cebidae
Exons: 2
Source: RefSeq, a predicted model, not a curated record